Long non-coding RNA from Entelurus aequoreus (snake pipefish), 1060 nucleotides. RefSeq lists it as uncharacterized. The transcript is spliced from 8 exons. The record is from RefSeq and is a predicted model, not a curated record. NCBI's taxonomy places the organism in Eukaryota, Metazoa, Chordata, Actinopteri, Syngnathiformes, Syngnathidae.
GUAUAACUUUCUCCGACUUUUUAGGACGUGUUUUAUGCCACUUCUUUUUCCGUCUCAUUUUGUCCACCAAACCUUUAACGUUGUGCGUGAAUACACAAAGCCGUUUUCUCUGCAGCCCUCUUCUGACGCUGAGGACCCUUUCCGAAGAAGAUGUAGUUGACCAGCGCGUACUCCAGGAGGGCCAGAAACACAAAGACGAAGCAUCCCAUGAGACUCAUCACCUGUGGAGAAGACAACGUUCUUGGAGAUGAGCUUGUGAUCCACAAUGGAGAACUGUGGCAGUUCAAUCCUGUCCACCCCCGUCACAGCGUUGUUGCCGCCCCGCCAGUAGAACUCGAUGUCGUCUGUCGUAUAACCAUCUGAGAAAGGGUACAAAGGUGAAGAAUGUCUCAUCCUUACAAGGAAACGUGGGGGCGUCUUUAUGUGUUGUUCUGGCCAUUUCCUGGUCCUACAUGGCUGUCAAAGUGUACCAACUUGUCGGAAUACCUACUCAGACUUCUUCUGUCCAGGCCAAAACCCCGACCUUCGUGUCACCACGCAAGGCGAGAGGAACACGUGGACACAGCCGCCAGUGGACACGGCAAAGAAGAGGACAACUGCAAUGUGGUGUCCAUGCCAAAAGCUGCAGGGCGUUGUUGAACUGCUUAAACGUGCAUCAUUCACUGUCACGGGAACAAGUGACUCAGACACCUCACUGAGUUGCCAGGCCACCUGUCCAGGGUUGAAUAUCUAACAUGACAUUGGCAAUCAGAGUGUGUGUCUCUCUUUGUAUGUGCACCACUAAGUCAUGCACAGUGAACUCAGAGCAGCACGAGGUGCAUGACCUUCCCCACAACACUGGCACCACUCUUGGCUUUUCUGCAUGCCUCUGACACCAACCACUGACCUCAUCGUUCUACGUGUGGACGACGAGAAGCAUUUCAAGCGUUUUUUUUCCACACACUUUCGGCUAAUUUAUCAAUGCUGUACUUUGAGGCGAGGAAGAGGGGGCGCCACCUGCUACCGCUGCAAGGUCGUUAUGUCCUUCAGGCAGCAGAUUGUUGGCCAAGUCUUCGCCCAC